This 77-nucleotide transfer RNA is filed under the name Butyricicoccus pullicaecorum. RNAcentral's name for it is "tRNA-Met". It matches the Rfam family "tRNA". Rfam says of the family: Transfer RNA (tRNA) molecules are approximately 80 nucleotides in length. Their secondary structure includes four short double-helical elements and three loops (D, anti-codon, and T loops). Lineage: Bacteria; Bacillati; Bacillota; Clostridia; Eubacteriales; Butyricicoccaceae. RNAcentral also lists the same sequence under 35 other names. The record is from RNAcentral.
GGCGGUAUAGCUUAGUUGGCUAGAGCGUCCGGUUCAUACCCGGAAGGUCAUUGGUUCAAGUCCAAUUACCGCUACCA